CACGUCAUGUCUGUAUUAAAGGCUGAGCACAGAGGUAUGCAGCCCAUGUGUGGAACAGGAUUUCAUGAUGCUGCUAACAACUCCAUCACAUGGAAAUUAGCCCGCUGCAUCAUUAAUAAUCUUGUGGUUUCAAAUACUGCAUUGCGAGGGCUGAUAAACUCUGUGUACAUUAAAAAUUGCCACAAAAAGCUCUUAGAAGUCUCAGCAGUCAAAUUCUCUCACGUUUCAGGGGGUUGGGACUAGAUCUAUAAUCAUCGUUGUUUGUUAGCAGUGGAGGCACAUUCACGGUUUUAAUGAAACACAGACAUCCUUUGUUGAACUUUAGAUGCACUCAGAAGGGAUGCAGCAUUUCCAUGCACAGAGCUGCACGUGCACAAACACCAUGCAGGGCUGAUCGGGGGAGCCUGGCUGAGCCCGACUGAGCGUAAGACUAACACGUCAGGCAGGUGAGGGAAAGCCUCAACACGCAGACCUCAUUCUACCACCAUCCUCUCCACCCAGAACCCUCAUACACACACGCACACACACACACUCUAAUGUCCUUGAUAUUUAAUAUAACAAUGAAAUGGAAAAGAAGCAAUUAAAACCACACCUAUGCAGGGUGAGCUCUAAUGCCCAUCUUCACCUUUCUGUGUGUGUAAACCUUUGUCUUCUCCUCCUACUCCCAUCUUUGAAAGGACGCAGCGUUUGAAGAGGUUAUUUGCUUUUCCAUGCUUGUGUCAGAUCCCAGUCUGAAAUGACUGUGUAGAACAUGCUCAGGUCUGCCGACCUCUACUUCUGUCCCUGAUUUAUCUGUAUAGGAUGUUUAUGAUGGGCCUACAUAAAGCAGGCUGAAUGAUGCAUGAAUAUGAUCUCAGCAUCACUCCUUUUCAUCCUCAAGGAAACACUCUCACUGCAGCUCAAAAACCUUUUUGCAGCCUGACAUCCAUUCAGGGAGUAUUUGUGUUCAGCCUUCUUCAGUGAAAAGUCCCAGAAGAGACCCACGCUUCGUUCAUUACUGCUAAUAAUGAGGCAGACAGUGCAUUCUAUCCACAAAUGAAGUUUGUUUAGUCAAUUUAAAUGGAAAAUAGUUUGGAACUCACUGCAGGUUAUGAAUGCAGACGCCAGAGAGUAUUCCAGAGCACAUUUUAACUUAAAAUGGGAAAUUGCUCAACACAUGUAGGGAUUAAGGUAACAGCACUAAACUGGCCUGGAUUAUAAUUGACAUAAUUUGUGAUUGAGUACCACAGGACUCAGUGCUUGGGCAAAUUUUCUUUUGUACAUAUAUUCUUCCCUUUGGAUAAUUCCUUAUAAAAAGGGAUUUUUUUUUUAUUUAUGGUGUGAAUUUUACUUUUGUAUUUUCUUGCUGUGGGACAGAAACUUUGCAUCUUGAAAAAUAUAACUUAAGAAAAUUAUACAUAUCUAACUACUUUAAUGUAAAUUUACACUGCAGUAAUAUGUUCUUAAAGACACUUCUACUAAACACACAGAAUGAUGUGAAGGUCGAUGAAAGCAGUUGAUUAUCAAAAAAACACAAAUGUGACAAACUAUUUUGACAUUUUUUAAAAUAAUAUUGUAUAUUUCAGUAGUUGUUUUUAUUAUUGUACACUAUCAAAAGUUCAUCUAGGAACAAGCAUUGCAAAUCAGCUUAAACUUCAAAUGCUGAAAUCUUCUGUGUCUGUUGACACCAAAUAUCAGCAGGUCCAAUUCAUAUCCACAUAUAAACAAUUAGAUCAAUACCACAGAAUCUGAUUACAUAGUCCAAUUCAAUUACAUACAUUUAAGUUUGAUCUUACUUAUAAUAUUACCCAUGGAGGUAAUUAAGAAAAUUACAUUUGUGUGCGUAAAAAAACAGAUCCAACAAUGAAGCCUAACAUUCAAAAAUUACAAAAAUUUAAUCCCACCAGCAUAAACACAUAAUUUUAUCUUUGAUUAAUAUUUAAUCCAAAGAAUUACAUAUUUAUAAAAAUUUAUAUAAAGUAGAGAACUUAGUUUUCUAAAAAUAUAUAUACAGUUUAUGUCCUGCAAGGGUGAACAACAUGGAUAUAAGACAUACAUUUGGUCACAAACAUGAACUCUGUUAUUUUUUUGUAAAUGGAAACAUUUCUGCAUACAAUGUGUUCUGAAUAAUUUGUGUUCGAAACAACAUGCAUUACUGCAAAGGACCACCUUUAUCUAAUUCACAGGGCAGAAAUGUUCACAGUGCAGUUUCUCUGUGAUACUCUCUACUGUAUGGGCAUCUCUCUCUACCACAGACAUGUGAUGACCAUGACUGCCAGACUCCACAAAGUUGCUGGUUCCCAGGGGCCCUUAGAGCGCCAGCUUCUCCUGUUCCAGUCUGGCACACAGCGUUCAUGUCCUGUGUAAUUGCAGACCUCAGUCUACGCAGGAGACCUACUACCUCUGUUAGAAUAGCUUGUUUUUUGUUUUUGUUUUUGUGUUUUUAAGUAAGGCCUAUAUCAACUCCUGCAGUCAGUCAGUGUUUCCCACAACCCCCAGCAUGGCGAGACUGGUGCCUCCCAUUCCCUCUGGAGCUCCUGAUUGGAUAAAGAGGAAAUGACAUGAAAGUUACCAGUAUGAAACCUACAAAUAGAUCAGUUGUAGUCCAAAAAUGAGCUACAGUACCCUCAUAAGUCAGAAUAGUUGACACAUGCACAUAUGUUAUGUACAGAAAUACACAUUAUUCUUUUCUCAUACCCCCAACCAAGCCUGGGGCCCAUGCUUGGUCACACACCUUGAGCAUGAAAUGGGAGCCCUGUCUGGGAACAGUUAACCAGCCUGCUGCCUGGUGAAAAUGGAAAAAGCGUGGUCCUUGUUAGCGCUGAUGACGCUAACGCCCCUGUCAUCCCUGAGGAGCACACUCCUCUGCUGCUGCUGCCAGGAGGCAGGGAAACAUAACUAGGUUUGAGGUCAAUGAUUGGAGCUAAUUUGCUGAUUUCUUUCAUUAUUUUAACUACUAGUUGCUAAUUUCUACCUAGGUUUUCAUUUCUUACUGUAACAAAAGCCAAGAUAAACUUAUAUUGACCUUUACUGGCCAGGGUGGGCCGGACAUAUAAUUUAUUUGACCUCCAGUGCAUCUCUCCCCUCCUACCUUCUUUUUCUCCCCGUGUUGGGAAGCAGAGGGAGAUCAAGGGAUGGAUGGGGUGAUGGUUGGUGUGGUGACAGGAGGAGCACAAGGAAAAGAAGAAAAUUCCUGAGUGCUUAAACCCCCUUCACAUUUAUCCUGGAAUCAGAGAAUCCCACUCACUUUCUGCCCACACAAACCCAGCCCCAUCUGACACUCGUGGAAUGCUAACGGCUUUUUUUUUCCUCCUUCUUCACCAAUUUAGGUAAUUGCCGUGGCGGUCACGGUGCUCGGAGCAGAGACCGUGACCCUGGGCGGUACGAAGUGACAGGCUCCGAGUAUCUGAGGCGGCACCCUGUAUUGUGCUGCCGAAACCAGACCUGCCGACAAAUUCAUCACUGACUCCUCCACAGCAGCCCGUAUUUGGCCGGAUUAAUGACUGCUGACUGGUACAUUGUGUCAAAUGGUGGAUACCCAACAUUUCUAUAGAGUCUACAUCAUUCCUUAUGAUCAGUGUUAAAAGGGUUGGUUGUUUAUUUAUAAAUGUCCAUUACAACACUUUCAAAUACUGUACACUCUUGCAAACCAUGCAUCACAGAUUUCUCUGAGUCUCACAUUUCAAAUGAAAAACUUUCAUUUUUACUCUGGUUAAUAGUCACACGCUAGUUUCACAUGAUUUAUAUGCAAAAUAUUGGUUCCACUGAUUGGCACAGGCUUAAGAAAUCAACAAUAAUGAAUAAUUAAAGUUACAAUUAAUCAUGAUUUAUUUCCAAAGAUUGAGGUUUUUUUUAAAUUAACAAAUUAAAAUUCUAAAAAAAAAAAACUUGACAUGUAUCACCAGCAUUGAGACAAAAUUUUCAACAUAAAAGUUUUGCCAAAUCUAGGAAAAACACUGGUGAACGUUUAAAUGCAUGAAAGACAGGCCCUGAUAAUAUUUUCAGUCAACAUAUUUUCUUAAAAUGUCCUGUGUAGAUGUUUGCUUUGGUUUCUAAGAUGCAGCCAACUUUAAAAACUUCUGUCAAUUUACAUUUGACAGAGUUUGUUCCAGUUGUUAUUAUUUUUAUUUCUUUGCUUAUAGGCUGUCAUUGUACAGCACAAAAGUGCUACAUCUAUGCAGCUCAACCAACCUGUUUGUUUUUGCCUCCAGGUGUGAACCACCACAGUAUCUUCUGCAUCUUUGCUGGCUCAUCAGGAUCUAAACAAACAGGCCUGUUAUUUGUUCGUAGCUAAUGUUUUUCACACAAAGGGCUCAGCUCAUAUUUGGAUCCUCCAUAAACACCUUAUGGACACUGUCAGGUUAGAAUUUGUUUAAAACAUCAGGCUGGUGAAAAGGGGCUUUUCUAUUAAAUAGCAUGAUUCUUUAUGUUUUAAUUUACAAAUCUUGACAGCACUACAUCAUUCACACUGUUUUCUAAGCAGUUAUUAAAUUUCUGGGACACAAUGGAAGCCUUUGAACAGAGAAAAGAAUGAAGAAGUCAAUAAAGUCAAGGUAAGGUUUAUAAAAGCAAAUAGGCAAACAAUGGUGAACUUCUCUUCAACCACCACCAAACAAGCAAACAGCGUUUUUCUGUUAUUUUGGUAGAGUUGUUUCCUGCACAACACUUCAUUUGUGGGCAGAAUCUUGACUUCAAGGAAACAAACAACAUAAGACUGAGGAACAAGGACACAGCACAGUUUAUAGCAAGGGGCAGUCCUGUGAUGGACUGGUGACCUGUGCAGGGUGUACUCUGCCUCUCUCGCCCAUUGGAGAUAUACACUACCCCCCCCCCCCCCUUGUGACUCUGCAAUGCCAUUGUGAGAAGUGCUGGAUUGAAAAGCAUUUCCUAUGAAGAGUUCAACUGCUGCACAGUUCCACCAAAGCAGCGUUUGAAGCAGGACAGAUGAUAGUCCUCAAGAGGGCCAUCAGAUGCCAUUGUAACUGAGGGAUGUCCUGAAAUUUAGGAGCAAUGACAGAAGUACAAAGCUCCAAGCAGAUUGUGUGGAAGAAGUCGAAACGUUUUCCCGAGGUUGACCUCUGAUCGGUCUUUCCUGAGGAUUGCGUUCUCUAAAGAAAUUAAGCCAAAUAACUAUGCAUCUGCAAACUACGUUCAGAUUAUUGUCUCUUUGUUUAACAUGUAAAAGUGCAGCCUCAGUAGGGUCAAAGGUCAUGGUCUUGCAGCCUGCUUGUGUGUCUGUGCAUCUGAUACUCUUGUCUGCCUCUUUGAUCUUUAGUCUGAGCAUGGACCUGUCCGGUGUUACAAAUGAAGGUGGUGAGAGGGUCAGAAUAUCUGAUGCACAGAUCGACGGAGAUACUCCCUGAGCGCUUCUGCACCCCUGCAGCUGCUCCAUUUUAUCAUCUCAUCUUGAAUGUGAACAAAACAAAGGAGAGGAUUAUAGAUUUUAAGAGAAACGGGGUUAGAUCGAACCCCAUUUCCAUCAUGGGAGAGAAGAAGUGGAGCUGGUUGAGGAGCAUAAAUACCCAGGUGUUCAUCUGUACAAAUGAUGAAGACCAAGGACCAGACUGGAGUCUGAACAGUGAAGCCGUUUACAGGAAAGGACAGAGGAAGAUUCUUGAGGAAGCUUAGAUCUGUUCUGUUGUGGAGAGUAAAAUCUCAAUUCAGUUGUUUCACUGUGAUCUGUGUGGCAGUUCAUAUUAUAAUUUCAACAUUGACUGCCUUCAGACUUCAGUGUGAACUGCCUGUGACCCCGAAGUGACCUGCAUUUCCAGAAUAAGACGUGAUGUCACACAGGGCAUGCUGUAUUUUUGGAUGUAAAAAUGGAUGCCACAUAUGCUAUGUAUCAAAUACUGAAACGUUAUGCUGACAAAAUCAUAUCUGACAUCGGAGUUUUCCUCUUCCUUCAGCAUGAAAUGUGAAGCUGUCAUGUUUUAAUUUUGUAAAUGGAGGAUAAAAUGCAGACUGAGAUUGAUCUUAAAAAAGAAAAAGAUGUUUAUCUGAUUAAGGACCACAUAUGAAAGUAACCUGGUCUUAUUUGAAAAUUCAGUAAAGAUUUAUGUCGGUCAGACUGUCAUUAAAGUCAGAUAUGGGUCAAUUAUUGUACAAAAUAUAUGGAUUUGUGACCUUUCAGUGGCCAUUGUUUCCCAAAAAUGUUGCAAAAAUCUUCCCUCUUCAUGUUUCCAUGAACCCAGUAUUGUGCUACUUUUCAUUUCGUCUCAUGAGCUUUACACCUCUGCAGCAAAGUAACAAAAUUACAUUUGGUUUGAUAUAAUGUACAGCUGAAUAAAAAGACACAGACAGGUU
Molecule: long non-coding RNA, 6282 nt
Organism: Xiphophorus couchianus (Monterrey platyfish)
Lineage: Eukaryota; Metazoa; Chordata; Actinopteri; Cyprinodontiformes; Poeciliidae
Exons: 4
Source: RefSeq, a predicted model, not a curated record